GGCGAGGCCGCGGCGCCUCAGGGCGCCUGCGCGCAGUGCUAGGCCGUGCCCACUGCGCGUGCGUGAGAGGCCCCGGGGAAGGGGAGAGGCGGCAGUGCGGCAACACGCAGGGACAAGCCAGGAGCUAAUGCUGAGAGCCAGAUGGGACCAUGCGCAGCUGCAGAGAGGGGCCAGGGGCAACGGGUCUCAGACUGAGCGUGAGUCAGAGACCACAGGGCUGCGAAGAAGACAUCCUGUGAGGCUGUGUAAACAGGAGCGUCGGCCCGAGGAGCAAAUGAGGGGCAUCAGUGGCGAGGCCAGGCUCUUCGAGACCGCAGCCAGCCCAGCUUGCGCCCUGCAGCCUCCCAGAGCACCCAUGCGUGGGGCUGCAGCACCCUACAAGCGCUCCCAGCUGCUGUUUCCCAACCCUUCACCAAGACCCUCAGUCCCUAUUUCCCCUACCCCAACCGCCAGCGGACAGAGGCAGACACGACAGCGGUGUGCAUAGCGAUUGUGGUUAGAUUUUAUUGUCUUUGUUUUUGUUUUUUAACCCAUAUUAUUGUUAUAAUACAAAAUAUACAGACUGGAGAUGCCAAGCGGGU
Molecule: long non-coding RNA, 581 nt
Filed under: Apteryx owenii (little spotted kiwi)
Lineage: Eukaryota; Metazoa; Chordata; Aves; Apterygiformes; Apterygidae
Description: lncRNA (ENSAOWG00000005210.1)
Source: RNAcentral